Long non-coding RNA from Prosopis cineraria, 714 nucleotides. RefSeq lists it as uncharacterized. The record is from RefSeq and is a predicted model, not a curated record. The transcript is spliced from 3 exons. Lineage: Eukaryota; Viridiplantae; Streptophyta; Magnoliopsida; Fabales; Fabaceae.
GCUAAAAGCAGAGAAGGGGAAGCUCUGGAACCUUCAUCGUCUCCUUCGUCUCCUUCCUUUCUUCCUCCACCAUUUUCCAGACAUCGUUGGCUUGCGUGAGUAGUGAUUCUGGCGCUUGAUGCACAAGAUGCGAAGCACAAAAUUUUUCUUCUCUUCAUAGCUUUGAGUCACCAUAAAACGCAGCUGGGGGUGUUCUGUCACACUCAGAAUCUUGCUGCUGUCAUCGGAGAGCUGAACGGAUCUGGAUCUUCCUUCUGUGCGUCCUUCUUCUCCGUUUCUAUUUCGUUUCUAUUUCGAUUGGCAUUACCGUCGAUCACUGCCGAGGCGAGGUAUCGUAGCUGCAUCUGUUAAUUGAGCAUUUUCUUUCCUUUCCUCUUCUCAGUUCGAUUGCACAGGGUCUGCCCAUGAUGCUCUUUUUCUGUUCUGUUUUUGCUGAGUUGAGAUUUAUUAAUUGACGAUGAUCCUACUGCUUACCUCUGAGGGGCAUACAUCUGUUUUGGGCGGAGUUUUGCCUAGCAUUACCUCCUUCUAAUGUCAAUAUUUGAAUUCAUGUAUUUUGUUUUGAAAGUAAGGUUAGUUGCUCCACAUAGCAUAUAGCUAGGUUUCUAAUUUGAUAUAUGUUAUCUGCUAGUUGGAAGGAGCUAAGCUCCUGAUUGAUAUUAUAUUUUAUGUAAAAUUAUUGCGUUAUAGAAUUUUGGGAAGAUUCCAUUCUUA